ACGUUUGCCAGGGUAAGAGUGGCCAGGCACCGGCACACCUAGUGCCAGCAGUCGAGGGGAGGACUCCUGUAGAGAGGGUGGGCACAUCUAUCACAAGCUGGUGCAGAAGAUUCUGUUGGCACUGAAGGGGUGCUGCUGCAGCAGGUGAAGGCAGGAAAAGUGGAGGUACCUUGCAAUUUGUUAAUAAUACUUGGCACAAUCAGGUAGCCCCAUCAAUCACCAAUGGGGGACUCAAAGAAACAGAUAGUGCUGGAAUUUCAGCAGGUGCAAGAACACCUCCAAACACUAACUGCUGAUAGAGAUCUCUUAAAGCUGGAAUUUGAGAGGCUUGCUAACAGCAGCCACCGCCUUCUACAGCAGAUAAAAGAAGACAGUUCUCAUGCGAGUGAGAGGAAAUUCCACAAUUUUGAGGCAGAGAAGCGUAGGCUGGAGGAAAGAUUGGAAGCACUGGAGCAGGAUAUCAAGGAGAAGGACAGGAAGAUUGCUCAUUUAGAUGCAAAGGCUGGUGAUUAUUUACAGCAAGUUAACCAACCUAGUAAUAGCCAGCUUGAGGAUAAAAAAUUGAGUGAUGAUAUUGUUUGUAGUGAUGUUGCUAGUGCAGUUAGUGUUGGGGAAGUGAAAGAGGUUGGGGAUAGUGCUGGAGUUGGAGGCAAAGAGAAAAUGAAGUGCAGUGAUGAUUGUCUCAGGGAACUGGUUGAUGUGGCUAGUAUGGAGGAAAACAAAAGAGAAAUUGAAGUUGAGCUUAAAUCUAAUGACAUAUCUCCUGGGGAAAAACUUUCCAGUGAAAAUAUGAUGGAUGAUAUAAGGGUGUCCGAGAAGCUAGGUGAACAAAGUGAGGAUAUUAUUGCUCGAACCGGUAAUGGUGAGAUGAGUAAUGAUGAAGGAAGUGAUGAGGAAAAUAUUGAAAAGAAUGAAAUGAUUAGAGCUUUGGUGGAUGAGGCAUUGAAAGAACUAAAGGAGGAGGACAUGAAAGCAAGUUUAGCAAAGAAUGAGAAUGGAGGUGUACUUGAAGGGUCCCAAAAGGAUUUAGAAGAGAAGAAAUCAUGUGAGGGAAAUGGUGAGCAGGAACCUUUACCAGAUUUAAAGAUACAGGUAAUUGUAAAGGAAAGAAAUACAGCUUUUGAAGAAGGACAAACUACUGCAUUGGGGGAGAUUGUUGGUCAAGAAGAAAGAAAGAAACUAGGAGACACAGUGCUAUCAGCAUUCACAACCUGUGAGCAAGAAUUAAAAGAAACUACCAAUGAACUUCAUGGUAUUGUUUCCUCAUUUCCUGUGGAUAUUCCCAAAGAAAGACCUGAUGAUAGCAUAUCAGGUAAGCAGGCAAAUAGUAAUGGAUCACCUGUCCGUGAUCAGAUCUCAUCUUUGUCAGUGCUUGUGGCUGAACUGCGUCGUGUUAAGGAUGACAUGGGAAAAUGCAUGUCUGUUAAAGAACAGUCCUUCAUUGAAUUGGAAGACCAACUUCAAGCUGCUAAUAAAGAAGUAAAUAAUCUGAAGGCAUCCAUGUCAUUACUAUCUAAAGAUCUUCAGGAAAAGAAUCAAAGUUAUCAGUAUUUAGAAGAGGAGAAUAAGAAAAAGAAAAUGGAUAUAGAGCACAAGAUGAGUGAGAUUCAGGAAGUCACAAACAAGUGCUCCAUGUUAGCUGAAGAAAAAGCAGAUGUUUUACGUAAAAUGGAAGUGCUGGAAAUAAUGAUGACAGAGUACCGCACUGAGAUUGAGAUGCUUAUUGGAGAGAAAGCAAAGAUGGAGGAAAAGACGAAGGAACUACUUUCUGCAAAGGCUGCCACAUCUGCAGCAGAAGCAGAAAUAGAUUCUAGGACUAGCUUGGAAGAAAAAGAAAAAGAAAUAGAAGAAUUAACAGGAAAGGUUCAAGAUAUGGAAAAGCAAAUGAAAGAACUGAACGACAAAUUAAAAGUCACAAAUAAACACCUAAAAGUGAUGGCAAGAGAACGUGAGCACAAGCAGAAAGAAUGUGAAGCUCUGAGACGCAAAGUUGAAACAGUUGAACUCAAAAUGUGUGAACUUCAGGGAACAUUUGACAUGCUUGUGAAAGCUGUCAUGGUGGAAAGAGAUGAUCUAAUCAAGGAUUUAGAAGAAAAGACAGGAGAAAUAGAUGAACUUCACAAAACUCUUGGCCAGCUUAAAGAAACUCAUGAACAGGAACUAGACAAGGUACUGAUUGAGAAAAAAUCAAUUGAUGAAGAGCUCCGUAAAUUCAGAUCAGGGGAUCUGAGACCUUCUGGAGCAAUGUUUGUAGAUAAAGAGGAGUUGAACGCAGUUGUCCGUGAAAAGGAAAGACUUGAGACAGAAGUUAGGCAAAGAACAGAGCAGAUACAAACACUUGAAUUUAAAGUGAAAACCAUUCAGAUGGAAAUGGAUGACUUUGUUGGGUCCUUGAAGGAAGAAAUGGCUCGCCUCAAGGAGGAGAGUGCAAAGUCUAAGGAAGAAAAGAAAAACUUGGAAGAUGUCUUUGCCUCACUGCAGUCUGAACACAAGACCCUAAAAGAAAAGAGCAAAGAGACACAGAAAAUACUUGCACAACUUGAGGCUGCCAAUAAAGAAAAAUCAGAAAACUUUGAAGCACAAAAACAACAACUCCAUGAUUUGCAACAACAGCUUGAGGACCUAAAUGCCAAAAAUUUCAAUCUAAACACAGAUAUGUACAACAAGGAGAAGGAAUUUAGAGAUGAGUUGACAGCCCGUGAAAGGACCAUACAGGAAUUAAACUUGACUCUAACUAAUAAUCAGAAGCAGUCCAUGGAGAAUUAUGGGGCACUGCAAGAAGAAAUGAGUACCUUGGAGACUAGGCUGAAGACAUCUCUGGAAGAAAGUAAUAAGCAAGCAAAGGAACUUGAGGAAAAGCUAAAAGUUUCUCAAGAGGAAAAGAAAAUGGAGGUUCUGGAACUUCAGGCAAAACUGAGGACUCUAAUGGAUGAAAUAAAGGAAGCAAAGUCAGAGUCGUUCUCACUUUCUCAAGAUGCUGAAGUGCCGUCAUCAUCUCUGGCUUUUGUACCUUCACUGCCUUUGGACUCCAGUGACUCAACAUCAGUGUUCCAUUCUGUGGUCACAGAGACAGAUCAAAGAGCAGUUGAUCAUCAUGCUAAGCAGCAACUAGAGACUCUCAGAAAAAGAGUAAAGGAUUUGGAAGAAGAGUUAGAGGGAAUGCGCAAGGAUUUAGAGGUUAAGGAAGAUGAAAUAAAAAACCAUAAGGAAACGGAUAUUCCUUGUUUACAAGGAAAAAUAAAAGAGCUCACCACAGAAGUAGAAACUCUCAGAGGCAAGCCCUCAGAGGGUGAAACAUUUAAAGAUCAUGCUGAGUUUGAAGCAGUCAUUGCUGCCAAGGAGGAAAAGAUACGCCAGUUGGAUUCCAAAGUCAGUGAUUUAGAAAUGUGCUUAGCAAACAAGAGUGGAUAUAUUUCCCAGCUGGAAGGACGCCUAGGCAGUUCACCAGAAGUGAAAAAUGAUGUGGAAUCCCAUCUGGGACAAAUAAAUAAACUCAGCACAGAUAUUUCUAAGCUGAAAGAUGAGCUGGAAAAGACAAAUGAAGAGUGUAAAACUUUGAAGAGUACAGUUGAUCAGCUUGAGAUGGACAAACACAGAUUUGAAGAAGAGAAGGCAAAGAUCAUUGAAGAAUAUGAGGCAAAGUUGCAUGAAGCAAAUGAAAAAAUAAGGGAAAUAAAUGAUGAACUAGAACAAAAAAAAAACUUGGCUGAAAGAUUAGAAUUGGAACUUAGCAGUAGUGAGAGUAGUCAUGUAGAUGAGGUUGCCAGAUUAGAGAGCAACCAUGUAGGUAGAGUAGCAGAUGUAGUUAAGCUUCAUAAACGUAAGAUUGAACAGCUGAAGAAGAGUAAUGCGGAGAAGGUCAGCGAUCUACACGACCAUAUUGAUGAACUUUACAAAGAGAAAAAAUCAUUGGAAGAACGCCUUAACAUUAUAAAACUUGACCUUGAUGAGAAAGUUUCUAAGUCAGAGAGAGAUCUAAUUAAGGAAAAACAGGAACUUUUCUCCAAAAUUGAGAAUCUGGAGAAAAAGGUGAAUUGUUUGGAAAGGGAGAAAAUGCAAAUAGAGAAAGAAAAGGCAGAACUUAAAGAAAGGUUUGAGGAUGAACAAGAAGAGGCGACUAACAUGCAAACACAAAUGGUGACAGACCUAGAAAAACUGAUUCUGAAUUUGGAAUCUGAGAAGAGGAAUUUGGAAAAAGAAGUACUCCAGCUAAAAGCAUCUGGGGAUCUAAAUGCUGGUCUCAUAGUGGACAGUGAGAAAAAAAUUGCCCUUCUUGAAGAUGAAAUUGUCAUUACCAAUAAGGAAAAAGAAAUUUUGAUGGAUGAAAUAAAAAAGUUAAAAGAAAUAAUUGGUGAAGAAACCAUUUCAAGAAUCAGGGAAGAGAGUGAGAAAUCAAAAGUUCUAGAAGAAAUGGCUGAGAAGGUGAAGAAGCUUCAGGCCAGGCUUGAAGAAUCUCAGAUAUCUAUAGAAGAGCAAGAGCAGAUCUAUGCACACAAGUUAAUGGAGGAGAAAUCUGAUCAUAUGAUGCAGCUCAAGGCCCUAAGGACUGAGCUGUCAGAGGAAGUGAAUGAAAUAGAUCUGAGAAAAGAGCAAGUGUCCCUGGAAUAUGAAGACAAAAUUGCUCUGAUAAUAACAGAAUAUGAAGACCGCCUCACUUCUACGAGAGAGCAGUUUGAGGCUAGGAUCCUGGAGGAAAAGGCUGAGUUUGGCCGUGUUCUUAUUAGCAAGAUUGAUGAAUAUGAAGGAAAGUUAUCUUCGCAAGUAGAGGACUUAAAAGCUUUUGAAAGUCAGAUUGAAGUUCUUCAGAAUGAAUUAGAUGAAAAGAUUAAUAUAAUGGAGGAACUGGAACAUAAUCUAGAUGAAGUUACACUUAUGAAAGCUGCUCUUAGAGCUCAAGUUGAUGACUUAAAGCAUACUAUUACUAAAAUGAAUGAAAAUGGAGAAGACUCUUAUGUAGAUGUUCUUCAUUCCAAGUAUGAAACAAGACUUGCAGAAGUGCAGGAACAUUAUGAAAGUCAGCUGUCAUAUCUCCGUUCAUUCAUCUCUGCAGCAGAUGUAGAUGUUCAGAGAGCAGGAUGUAGUUCACCUUCGCAAGGAUCUGAGUAUUCUAUUGAACUUUCAUGUCUUCGUCCUUAUUUGCAAGGCCAGUCGUCUCCCAUUGCUGAGUUCAUGGCAGAACUCAAGUCACAGUCAGUGCUCGGGAGUGAUAAUGAAGUUCACACCUCUAACCAUAGCUUCCAUUUAAUGCGAUCUGCCUCCAUUGCAAAAAAUAAGGAAGAUACACGUUCUCAUUCAUCAGCCGAUGGAAAAAUUGGCAUUAGCUUUAAUGGACUAAGUGCCCACUUGAUGGCUAAAUCAUUAUCAAAAGGAAACAACAAAUGUCACUCAAAUGGUUCUAUAGCCCACAUCCUAUCUAAGUCAUUAUCAAGGUCAGAACAGUUAAGGCUGUCAGCUUUAGAUGGAAAAACUGAACCCCAGACAAUGGGUUCAAAGUCCCAUAUGCUAUCAGUUUCAUCAUCGGGAUUAGAAGAUCUGAAACAGAGCAAUACAGGGCCCACAUGUGAAUCAAAGCCAGAUUCUUGCACCUCUGACCAGCCAACCAGCAAGGCCAGUUGUGAACCCAAAGACACAGAUCUGAACCCAGAGAAUUCAAUUGUCUCUGCAACUGGGACUAAGCCUCGACCUCCCCGCCGUGGUGCCUCCAAGCCAAAGUCCUCCCCUGCUGGAGAACCAUCAUCAAUGAUCACUGUUGAUGAGUCCAGUACAGCUGCCACAGCCACCUCCAGCACCAAUCUGCCCUCUGACUCAGACCCCAGCAACACAACUCUUGACAAAGUGAAAGGAUUACGGUUAUUGAAGCGACUAUGGAAGAAACUACUUCGAAACUUGCGGCGUCGGAAGCUAAGUGUGCGGAACUGGAGGAAAGGCUCCAGCAGACCACGGCCUCCUGUGAGACCCUCACGCAGAAAAUAAAUGAGCUCACUGCCGAAAAUGACGACCUUACCCGACAAGUGGAAGACAUGGAGAAAGAGAAGGAGGGCACAGCCAAGACUAUAGCAAUGUUGGAGUUUAACAAUGAGCAUAACAAAGACAAGGUCCGAAACAUGGAACUUUCCAACGAUGACCUGAAGGAAACCAUAUCAUCCCUCAUGAAGGAGAAAGAGGAGCUCACAAGGCAGCUGAAAGAAGGUGCCUCUGGAGUGAUAGACCAGUACAUCAAAGAGAAAGAUGAAUUAGAGGAAAGAUUAACAAAGGAGAAGGAUGAACUACUGGAGAAGUAUGUUAAUGAAGACAAAGCCCUUAGAGAGCAGCUGGAAGGCCUCAUGGAGAU
Molecule: unclassified non-coding RNA, 6331 nt
Filed under: Penaeus japonicus
Lineage: Eukaryota; Metazoa; Arthropoda; Malacostraca; Decapoda; Penaeidae
Description: restin homolog, transcript variant X1
Source: RNAcentral